UACGGAGGGUGCGAGCGUUGUUCGGAAUCACUGGGCGUAAAGCGCGUGUAGGCGGCCUCCUCAGUCUGGUGUGAAAGCCCGGGGCUCACCCCCGGAAGUGCAUUGGAUACUGGGAGGCUGGAGUACCGGAGAGGAGGGUGGAAUUCCUGGUGUAGCGGUGAAAUGCGUAGAUAUCAGGAGGAACACCGGUGGCGAAGGCGGCCCUCUGGACGGAUACUGACGAUGAGACGCGAAAGCGUGGGGAGCAAACAGG
Molecule: ribosomal RNA, 253 nt
Filed under: uncultured bacterium
Lineage: Bacteria
Description: partial 16S ribosomal RNA
Rfam family: Bacterial small subunit ribosomal RNA
Source: RNAcentral